This 1489-nucleotide ribosomal RNA is filed under the name Lactiplantibacillus plantarum. Its description in RNAcentral is "bacterial SSU rRNA". It matches the Rfam family "Bacterial small subunit ribosomal RNA". The record is from RNAcentral. Lineage: Bacteria; Bacillati; Bacillota; Bacilli; Lactobacillales; Lactobacillaceae.
GAAAGGGCGGCGUGCUAUACAUGCAGCUAGAACGAACUCUGGUAUUGAUUGGUGCUUGCAUCAUGAUUUACAUUUGAGUGAGGGGCGAACUGGAGAGUAACACGUGGCAAACCUGCCCAGAAGCGGGGGAUAACACCCGGAAACAGAUGCUAAUACCGCAUAACAAAUGGGACCGCAUGGUCCGAGUUAGAAAGAUGGCUUCGGCUAUCACUUUUGGAAUGGUCCCGCGGCGUAUUAAAUUAGAAGGGGGGGAAACGGCUCACCAGGGCAAUGAAACGUAGCCGACCUGAGAGGGUAAUCGGCCACAUUGGGGACUGAGACACGGCCCAAACUCCUAGCGGGAGGCAGCAGUAGGGAAUCUUCCACAAUGGACGAAAGUCUGAUGGAGCAACGCCGCGUGAAUGAAGAAGGGUUUCGGCUCGUAAAACUCUGUUGUUAAAGAAGAACAUAUCUGAGAGUAACUGUUCAGGUAUUGACGGUAUUUAACCAGAAAGCCACGGCUAACUACGUGCCAGCAGCCGCGGUAAUACGUAGGUGGCAAGCGUUGUCCGGAUUUAUUGGGCGUAAAGCGAGCGCAGGCGGUUUUUUAAGUCUGAUGUGAAAGCCUUCGGCUCAACCGAAGAAGUGCAUCGGAAACUGGGAAACUUGAGUGCAGAAGAGGACAGUGGAACUCCAUGUGUAGCGGUGAAAUGCGUAGAUAUAUGGAAGAACACCAGUGGCGAAAGCGGCUGUCUGGUCUGUAACUGACGCUGAGGCUCGAAAGUAUGGGUAGCAAACAGGAUUAGAUACCCUGGUAGUCCAUACCGUAAACGAUGAAUGCUAAGUGUUGGAGGGUUUCCGCCCUUCAGUGCUGCAGCUAACGCAUUAAGCAUUCCGCCCGGGGGAGUACGGCCGCAAGGCUGAAACUCAAAGGAAUUGACGGGGGCCCGCACAAGCGGUGGAACCAGGUGGUUUAAUUCGAAGCUACGCGAAGAACCUUACCAGGUCUUGACAUACUAUGCAAAUCCUAAGAGAUUAAAACGUUCCCUUCGGGGAAAUGGAAACAGGGGGGGCGAAGGGUUGUCCCCACCCCCGGGCCGUGAAAAAAUGUUGGGUUAAAUCCCCCAACGAGCGCAACCCUUAUUAUCAGUUGCCACCAUUAAGUUUGGGGCACCCCGGUGAGACUGCCGGUGACAAACCGGAGGAAGGUGGGGAUGACGUCAAAUCAUCAUGCCCCUUAUGACCUGGGCUACACACGUGCUACAAUGGAUGGUACAACGAGUUGCGAACUCGCGAGAGUAAGCUAAUCUCUUAAAGCCAUUCUCAGUUCGGAUUGUAGGCUGCAACUCGCCUACAUGAAGUCGGAAUCGCUAGUAAUCGCGGAUCAGCAUGCCGCGGUGAAUACGUUCCCGGGCCUUGUACACACCGCCCGUCACACCAUGAGAGUUUGUAACACCCAAAGUCGGUGGGGUAACCUUUUAGGAACCAGCCGCUAAGUGCCUUCUAAUUA